Molecule: long non-coding RNA, 292 nt
Filed under: Cavia porcellus (domestic guinea pig)
Lineage: Eukaryota; Metazoa; Chordata; Mammalia; Rodentia; Caviidae
Description: lncRNA (ENSCPOG00000030106.1)
Source: RNAcentral
UGAUGAUCGGACACGCUGAUUUCAUUGUCUGAGGCGGCAGUGAAGAUCCAGGAAAAAUCUCUGAAUCUUUCUACUCCAGCAUUGGCCUUGUCUGGGAUCCUCAGAUCCUAUCUAGGAUCCUGUGAACACUUCUGUGAUUGCAUCACUCCCGAGAACCACUGAAAUCGAAUUGCCUUUUGAGAGACCAUAUUAAAUACCCCUUUGUUGAGAAGGCUUAUGUUUUUCAGUAAUUGUGAGGAAAAACCUCUGUGUGUCCGUGGUGGCGAAAUUUUACAGUAAGUUUUUAAAUUUC